GACGAACGCUGGCGGCGUGCUUAACACAUGCAAGUCGAACGGAAAGGCCCUGCUUUUGUGGGGUGCUCGAGUGGCGAACGGGUGAGUAACACGUGAGUAACCUGCCCUUGACUUUGGGAUAACUUCAGGAAACUGGGGCUAAUACCGGAUAGGAGCUCCUGUUGCAUGGUGGGGGUUGGAAAGUUUCGGCGGUUGGGGAUGGACUCGCGGCUUAUCAGCUUGUUGGUGGGGUAGUGGCUUACCAAGGCUUUGACGGGUAGCCGGCCUGAGAGGGUGACCGGCGACAUUGGGACUGAGAUACGGCCCAGACUCCAACGGGAGGCAGCAGUGGGAAAUAUUGCACAAUGGGCGGAAGCCGGAUGCAGCAACGCCGCGUGCGGGAUGACGGCCUUCGGGUUGUAAACCGCUUUAGCCUGUGACGAAGCGUGAGUGACGGUAAUGGGUAAAGAAGCACCGGCUAACUACGUG
This 468-nucleotide ribosomal RNA is filed under the name uncultured bacterium. RNAcentral describes it as "partial 16S ribosomal RNA". It matches the Rfam family "Bacterial small subunit ribosomal RNA", at positions 28 to 507 of the family's 1533-position model. The record is from RNAcentral.